Molecule: ribosomal RNA, 255 nt
Filed under: uncultured bacterium
Lineage: Bacteria
Description: partial 16S ribosomal RNA
Rfam family: Bacterial small subunit ribosomal RNA
Source: RNAcentral
UACGAAGGGGGGCUAGCGUUGCUCGGAAUCACUGGGCGUAAAGGGUGCGUAGGCGGGUCUUUAAGUCAGGGGUGAAAUCCUGGAGCUCAACUCCAGAACUGCCUUUGAUACUGAGGAUCUUGAGUUCGGGAGAGGUGAGUGGAACUGCGAGUGUAGAGGUGAAAAUUCGUAGAUAUUCGCAAGAACACCAGUGGCGAAGGCGGCUCACUGGCCCGAUACUGACGCUGAGGCUCGAAAGCGUGGGGAGCAAACAGG